RNAcentral lists this ribosomal RNA (1383 nucleotides) under Hemidiaptomus amblyodon. Its description in RNAcentral is "SSU rRNA". It matches the Rfam family "Eukaryotic small subunit ribosomal RNA", at positions 50 to 1455 of the family's 1831-position model. The record is from RNAcentral. Lineage: Eukaryota; Metazoa; Arthropoda; Copepoda; Calanoida; Diaptomidae. RNAcentral also lists the same sequence under 2 other names.
CAUGCAUGUCUAAGUACAAGCCUCAGUAAGGUGAAACCGCGAAUGGCUCAUUAAAUCACACCUAAUCUACUGGAAAGUUACUAGUUACUUGGAUAACUGAGGUAAUUCUUGAGCUAAUACAUGCGAAAAAUCUCGACUCACGGAGAGAUGCUUUUAUUAGAUCAAAACCAAACGGCUUCGGCCGUCUCAUUGGUGACUCUGAAUAACUUUGGGCUGAUCGUAUGGCCUUGUGCCGACGACGUUUCCUUCGAAGGUGUGCCCUAUCAACUGUCGACUGUGAUAUAGACGCUCACAGUGGUUUUGACGGGUAACGGGGAAUCAGGGUUCGAUUCCGGAGAGGGAGCCUUAAAAACGGCUACCACAUCCAAGGAAGGCAGCAGGCACGCAAAUUACCCAAUGACCGAAGGUCGAGGUAGUGACGAAAAAUAACGAUACAGGACUCAUCCGAGGCCCUGUAAUUGGAAUGAGUACACUUUAAAACCGUUCCCGAGGAUCUAUUGGAGGGCAAGUCUGGUGCCAGCAGCCGCGGUAAUUCCAGCUCCAAUAGCGUAUAUUAAAGUUGUUGUGGUUAAAAAGCUCGUAGUUGGAUCUCGGCGGACAGAAGUCGGUCCGAAUGCUUUCGGUACUGGCUUGUUUGUCCGUGUGUUUUGCCAGAGGCAGGCGGGUGCUCUUCGCCGAGUGUCCGUCUGUGCUGGCAGGUUUACUUUGAAAAAAUUAGAGUGCUCAAAGCAAGCUCUUACGCUUGAAUAUUCGUGCAUGGAAUAAUAGAAUAGGAUGUCGUUUCUAUUUUGUUGGUUUUCGGAAAUCGACAUAAUGAUUAAUAGGGACAGUCGGGGGCAUUUGUAUUCAAACGACAGAGGUGAAAUUCUUGGACCGUUUGAAGACAAACUACUGCGAAAGCAUUUGCCAAGAAUGUUUUCAUUAAUCAAGAACGAAAGUUAGAGGUUCGAAGGCGAUUAGAUACCGCCCUAGUUCUAACCAUAAACGAUGCCAGCUAGCGAUCUGCAGGCGUUUUAUUUUACGACCUUGCAGGGAGCUUCCGGGAAACCAAAGCUUGUGGGUUCCAGGGGAAGUAUGGUUGCAAAGCUGAAACUUAAAGGAAUUGACGGAAGGGCACCACCAGGAGUGGAGCCUGUGGCUUAAUUUGACUCAACACGGGAAAUCUCACCAGGCCCGGACACGAGAAGGAUUGACAGAUUGAUAGCUCUUUCUUGAUUUCGUGGGUGGUGGUGCAUGGCCGUUCUUAGUUGGUGGAGUGAUUUGUCUGGUUAAUUCCGAUAACGAACGAGACUCUGUCCUGCUAACUAGUGUCUGCUUCUUUUCUGAGCAGAUUAUUCUUCUUAGAGGGACUGGUAGCUCUUAGCUACACGAGAUUGAGCAAUA